Molecule: ribosomal RNA, 301 nt
Filed under: uncultured bacterium
Lineage: Bacteria
Description: partial 16S ribosomal RNA
Rfam family: Bacterial small subunit ribosomal RNA
Source: RNAcentral
CAGUCGCCGCGGUAAAACGGAGGGGGCUAGCGUUGUUCGGAAUUACUGGGCGUAAAGCGCACGUAGGCGGCUAUGUAAGUUAGAGGUGAAAGCCUGGAGCUCAACUCCAGAAUUGCCUUUAAGAUUGCGUGGCUAGCAGGUGAGAGAGGUGAGUGGAAUUCCGAGUGUAGAGGUGAAAUUCGUAGAUAUUCGGAAGAACACCAGUGGCGAAGGCGGCUCACUGGCUCAUACUGGACGCUGAGGUGCGAAAGCGUGGGGAGCAAACAGGAUUAGAUACCCCCGUAGUCCCUGUCUCUUAUAC